RNAcentral lists this long non-coding RNA (790 nucleotides) under Equus caballus (horse). RNAcentral describes it as "lncRNA (ENSECAG00000032673.3)". Lineage: Eukaryota; Metazoa; Chordata; Mammalia; Perissodactyla; Equidae. The record is from RNAcentral.
CCUCCCGGCGGUUCAAGUUUCUGCGCCCGGAGGACGCGGCCUCGGCCAAUCCCCGGGCUACAGGGCGCUUUUAAAAUGCAGGUCUGGGCAUCGAGAGCCCCGCUCCCGACCCAGGGACACCCCUGCCCCUUCUCUGACGCUGGCAGCAGCAGGAGAGGACACUGGCUCCCUGUCUCCUCUUCAAGUGGCGGAGCAGCCGGCCUGAGAGGUGAGUGGGGUCAUAGGUGACCUCAGCUUCUUGUCCCCGUCCGUAUUCCUGGACAAGGAGGAUGGUGGAAGGACGGAGGACAAGGCAGUGCCUCUGGAAAUCCAAAAUGCCAAGUCCCAGCCCAGGUGCCUCCCUCCCACCGAGGAGCCUCUGGUGUCCUGGUCGCCUCUGGACGUGGUGUGGCCACCAGAAGAACCGGGCAGCUCCAAGGGGCCCCCUGCUGGCCUGAGGAGUUGCUGCGGCCACAAAGAAGAGGUGCGCUCACUCCCCACACCCGCUGACCCAGGACCCAGCUCAGGGACCCAGACCAUGCCAAGCACUUCGCUGGGAGCCACCGGGAAACAGCAUCUCCCCACAGCCCUGCGAGCUGGGCCUUUCACAGAUGUGAGGCCCUGGAGGAGACUGUCCCGUCAGGCUGCUCCCAAAAAUCCACUGUCAGGGAAACAAGCAAGAGGCAGAACAUGAAUAAAAAUAACAUGAAAGUGUAAUUAUUUAAAAAAUAACGAGCAAAGGUGCUGUGCAAGCAUAGACUCUGGAGGAUGGCGCGAGCACCGGGCAGCCCUCAGGGCUUCCUGGAAGGAG